UACGUAGGUGACCAGCGUUGUCCGGAUUUACUGGGCGUAAAGAGCGCGCAGGCGGUCGUUCAAGUCGAGUGUGAAAGCCCCCGGCUCAACUGGGGAGGGUCACUCGAUACUGAUCGACUUGAAGGCAGGAGGGGGAAGCGGAAUUCCCGGUGUAGUGGUGAAAUGCGUAGAUAUCGGGAGGAACACCAGUGGCGAAGGCGGCUUCCUGGCCUGUUCUUGACGCUGAGGCGCGAAAGCUAGGGGAGCAAACGGG
This 253-nucleotide ribosomal RNA is filed under the name uncultured bacterium. RNAcentral describes it as "partial 16S ribosomal RNA". It matches the Rfam family "Bacterial small subunit ribosomal RNA", at positions 524 to 776 of the family's 1533-position model. The record is from RNAcentral.